AUAUGUAUAGGUACGAGGUAGAGCAUCAUGCUAAAAACGUGAAGGUUGUGAGUUCGAGUCUCACCGUGACCA
Non-coding RNA from Terfezia boudieri ATCC MYA-4762, 72 nucleotides. The record is from the annotation of a GenBank genome assembly. NCBI's taxonomy places the organism in Eukaryota, Fungi, Ascomycota, Pezizomycetes, Pezizales, Pezizaceae.